Molecule: long non-coding RNA, 1190 nt
Organism: Ricinus communis (castor bean)
Lineage: Eukaryota; Viridiplantae; Streptophyta; Magnoliopsida; Malpighiales; Euphorbiaceae
Exons: 2
Source: RefSeq, a predicted model, not a curated record
GUGCACCGCAUUUCACUCGUCAUCAAAUGUUUGUUUCUUUUUCUUGAUUGGCGAUUCUGCACGGCCGUUCGCAUGCUUAGCUUCAUGCUACCUGCUACGAAGCAAACUUAUUAAUUUUUAAAAUUAGGUCCAAAUAUUUGCGGAAACCAAGGACAGGCUCUUGAAGGCUGGAACGAGAAAAUACUAUCCUUGAGAGGUAAGAUGCAUUAUUGAUAAAGAGCAAUACGACAACAGUGCCUGUGUUUUUCAAUGGCAUGUUUCAAGUUGCCAAGUUUCCUUUGUAAUUAAGGUCAUCAACAACAUGAUGAUAGCUAAGUAUUGAUGGAGUCGAAAGAGUGAUAGAAAAAGGACUCACUGAGUGUUAUGGGCUAAAAUGUGCAAGAGAAAACUUAUGGAGUGCUCUAUGUUAGGAACUUGAACUGUUAAACUUGGCACUAUUACUCAAGCAGGGGUGGCGACUAUUAAAUUAAGCCUCUCCACGACAUUAAAAUGCUACAUGGAACUGGAAAAGUUUACUCCAUGGUCGUAUUAUUCUUGGGAAGGGAGUGAAGUGGCAGGUGAGGAGUAUAGUGAGAUGUUUGGCUUUCAAGCUUUGAGUUGGCAAAAGAUAUGUGUUUAUAGUACAUGAGUUUAUAGAUCUUCCCUGGGUUAAGUGGAAAAAGGAGCUUGGAAGAGAAUGUUUCCAACAAAAUGAGGCUGAUGCUAUAUUGCAAACGCCACUUAGCAAGUUCAGACUAAAUAAGAGACCGAUUUGGCAAAAUCAGGCCAAUUCGGUGCCAAAUGGACGUAUCAUUUAGCUUAGAACCUUUUAUUUCCCAAUGCAUAUGCUCUGGUCAGUUUGAAAAAGCAAGGAAUGCGGCAAUGUUUAGAAGUGAAUUGUGGUGACCUUCUGAGAUUGAGGCUCAAGCUUUAGUUGAUACAAUAACUGUGGCCGGUUAAUUGUUUUAAGGGAAUCUUUUAUCCUAGCUUGCAAGAGGAAAUGUCUUCGGUUACUAUUGAGGAGGAUGUUAGGAGCAUCAUUCAGACUAUUAGAGGCAUCAGUUCCUGGUAGAUACACAAAUCACCAUUAGAGGUUGCAAGCUUCUCUUGCAGCAAUUCACUAAUCUGUAUACUAAUAGUCUGAUACAAUAACUGUGGCCGGUUAAUUGUUGUUAUUCUUCUUUUUAAGCAAUGAAAUCCAUUUAUAAUGA